RNA transcript from Manihot esculenta (cassava), 2541 nucleotides. It is a transcript of the gene named probable CoA ligase CCL8, with no coding region annotated. NCBI's taxonomy places the organism in Eukaryota, Viridiplantae, Streptophyta, Magnoliopsida, Malpighiales, Euphorbiaceae. The transcript is spliced from 17 exons. The record is from RefSeq and is a predicted model, not a curated record.
UGACCCCCAAUAUUUGACUUGCCGUCUUCAUAACACCAAAGCAAGAUCAAAUCACCUGUCCCUCGCACAUAUUGAGCCAGAAACCAUUUACCUUAGCUGUUAUUUUCUCUCAUUUUGCACCUUUUUCUUUCCUCACCUAAAUGUGCUCCUCAUUUAAAGCUUUCAACAAACACUUGAGGAGCACCUACCUCUCUCUCCAUUACUAUUACACCUCUACCUGUCGACCAUGCUGCUACCACUAUCCCUAUCUGUCCUUCGUUCGCCUUAAAGCACCGUCGAUCCUGUCUUCUUCGUCACUUUCGGCUCUCGCCUCUCGUUUCUCUACUUACCGUUUUUACUCUUCACUUCAUUCUGGUACAUUUAUGGAGGUCGUUAAAGCGGUGGGUAAACAGGGGAAUGCAGCUGCGAAUAGCAUUGCUAUCCGGGCUGACCAGAUGAGUUACACAUACGUACAACUCAUCUCAUCAGCCUGGAACAUUUCUAAUCUGUUGUGUAACGCUGGAUUAAAGACUGUUGAUGAUGUUAGAGGAAAUGGACAUCUUGGUGGAGCUCGAAUUGGAAUCGUGGCUAAACCUUCAGCUGAAUUUGUUGCUGGUGUACUCGCAACUUGGUUUAGUGGAGGUGUUGCAGUUCCUCUCGCACUUAGCUAUCCUGAAACUGAACUCUUGCAUGUGAUGCAUGAUUCUGACAUAUCUAUGGUACUGAGCACCGAAGAUUAUAAAGAGUUGAUGCAAAAUAUUGCUGCCAAAAGCGCUGCCAAAUUUUCCCUCAUUCCUUCUGUUCCCAGUAUUUCUUCACAGAGAAGUGAACAAUAUCCUUCACAAAUGGGAGCCAUGGAAGCACAUAGAGGUGAAGAUCCAGCACUAAUUGUCUAUACAAGUGGCACGACAGGCAAACCUAAAGGCGUUGUCCAUACUCACAAAAGUAUUACUGCUCAGGUUCAAAUUUUGGCAGAAGCUUGGGAGUAUACAUCUGCUGAUCAAUUUCUCCAUUGUCUACCACUGCAUCACGUUCAUGGACUUUUCAAUGCUCUAUUUGCCCCUAUCUAUGCAGGUUCCAUGGUUGAGUUUAUGCCAAAAUUUAGUGUGAGAGGAAUCUGGCAAAGAUUGCGGGAAUCAUAUCCAAUAAAUGGCAAAAAGGCUGAUGAUGCUAUAACAGUGUUUACAGGAGUUCCCACCAUGUACACUCGAUUGAUACAAGGUUAUGAAGCAAUGGAUUCAGAACUUCAGGCAGCUUCUGCCUUUGCUGCAAGACAGUUGCGGCUAAUGAUGUGUGGCUCCUCAGCACUCCCUCUACCUGUCAUGGAACAAUGGGAAAACAUCACAGGGCAUCGCCUUCUAGAAAGAUAUGGCAUGACUGAGUUUGUCAUGGCAAUAUCAAAUCCCUUGAGAGGUGUGCGGAAAGCGGGAACUGUAGGCAAACCAUUUCCUGGAGUGCAGGUCAAGAUUGUAGAAGAUGAGACUGAAAAUGACCCAACAGGGGUGGGUGAGCUUUGUGUUAAAAGCCCUUCAUUGUUCAAGGAGUAUUGGAAGCUUCCUAAGGUAACCAGUGAAUCAUUUACUGAUGAUGGCUUCUUCAAGACAGGUGAUGCUGGUAAAAUAGAUGAAGAUGGUUACUACGUCAUUUUGGGACGUAAGCAUAUCUACUAUCAUAUGCUGUGCUCUUAUUGGUACAAGUGCUGAUAUUAUGAAAGUUGGGGGAUACAAAUUAUCUGCAUUAGAAAUUGAAUCAGCCCUCUUAGAGUAUCCAGGUAUUGCUGAGUGCUGUGUUUUGGGCUUGCCGGACAAAGAUUAUGGAGAUGCUGUGUGCGCAAUUAUUGUUCAAGAUGAAGCAGAAAAAAGAAAAAUAGAGGAACAGCUAAAGCCUGCUCUAAGCUUGGAAGAACUCCGUGAGUGGGCUAAAGGCAAACUUGCACCAUACAAGCUGCCUACUCGAUUGUUCUUGUGGGAUUCAUUACCUCGUAAUGCUAUGGGAAAGGUGAACAAGAAAGCACUGAAAACAGUGCUCGCAGCUGAACAACAAAAUUUGGAGUUUGGGCAGUAAAACUGAUACACCAAGGAAGUCUCGACGUUUACCAUUAUACAUAGACUGAAGCUAGAAGAUAGAAAGCAUGUGACUGAGACAUGCAAUGUGGGAAAUGGGUUGUUAGCAGAAGAUGGUGGUGACAUGGGCGGUGACCUAUGGACGUGGGUUAUGGAGCCCAUGGGAAUAUGUAUUGUAGCUUGCCAAAGUUUAGAAAUCUUAAUUUGUUAUUUUGUUGAGUCUAUUGUUGGAAAAUAUACAUACGCGGUGACCUAUGGACGUGGGUUAUGGAGUCCAUGGGAACAUGAGCCGUAGCUUGCCAAAGUUUAGAAAAAUAUUUUUCUUAAUUUGUUAUUUUGUUGGGUCUAUUGUUAUUUUGUUUUAAGAGUCAUGUUUCUAUUUUUUAGAAGUCAUGGGCUAAAAAUUAGGAUCAGAUGUUAUUUUCUUAUUCUAUUUAAACUUUUACUAAUAGAAUGAAAUAGUAGUUUAUUUUUUAGUGAAAUUAUGAUUGUUUUCGCU